RNAcentral lists this long non-coding RNA (201 nucleotides) under Mytilus galloprovincialis (Mediterranean mussel). Lineage: Eukaryota; Metazoa; Mollusca; Bivalvia; Mytilida; Mytilidae. The record is from RNAcentral.
GUCUAAUGAACUUAAAAAUUUUUGUUUUGCCUUUGAGCAAUUCACUAUGCUGUUGAAUAUUAAUCCUCUCAAAAAAAUGUUUGAAGAAAUUUUCUUUUUAUUUAUAAAAUCUGAAAUGAGAAAAAUUUAACCCCCCCCCCCCCCAUUUCUUUUUCACAUCCCCCUUUCCCUUUUUCCAAAACUGAUAUCAAUUCAAAUUUC